GACGAACGCUGGCGGCGUGCUUAACACAUGCAAGUCGAACGGAAAGGCCCUGCUUUUGUGGGGUGCUCGAGUGGCGAACGGGUGAGUAACACGUGAGUAACCUGCCCUUGACUUUGGGAUAACUUCAGGGAACUGGGGCUAAUACCGGAUAGGAGCUCCUGCUGCAUGGUGGGGGUUGGAAAGUUUCGGCGGUUGGGGAUGGACUCGCGGCUUAUCAGCUUGUUGGUGGGGUAGUGGCUUACCAAGGCUUUGACGGGUAGCCGGCCUGAGAGGGUGACCGGCCACAUUGGGACUGAGAGACGGCCCAGACUCCUACGGGAGGCAGCAGUGGCGAAUAUUGCACAACGGGCGGAAGCCUGAUGCAGCAACGCCGCGUGCGGGAUGACGGCCUUCGGGUUGUAAACCGCUUUCGCCUGUGACGAAGCGUGAGUGACGGUAAUGGGUAAAGAAGCACCGGCUAACUACGUG
Molecule: ribosomal RNA, 468 nt
Filed under: uncultured bacterium
Lineage: Bacteria
Description: partial 16S ribosomal RNA
Rfam family: Bacterial small subunit ribosomal RNA
Source: RNAcentral